RNAcentral lists this ribosomal RNA (491 nucleotides) under uncultured bacterium. RNAcentral describes it as "partial 16S ribosomal RNA". It matches the Rfam family "Bacterial small subunit ribosomal RNA", at positions 29 to 506 of the family's 1533-position model. The record is from RNAcentral.
AGUGAACGCUGGCGGUAGGCCUAACACAUGCAAGUCGAACGGCAGCACAGUAAGAGCUUGCUCUUACGGGUGGCGAGUGGCGGACGGGUGAGGAAUACAUCGGAAUCUACUUUUUCGUGGGGGAUAACGUAGGGAAACUUACGCUAAUACCGCAUACGACCUACGGGUGAAAGCAGGGGAUCUUCGGACCUUGCGCGAUUGAAUGAGCCGAUGUCGGAUUAGCUAGUUGGCGGGGUAAAGGACCCACAAGGCGACGAUCCGUAGCUGGUCUGAGAGGAUGAUCGGCCACACGGGAACUGAGACACGGUCCAGACUCCUACGGGAGGCAGCAGUGGGGAAUAUUGGACAAUGGGCGCAAGCCUGAUCCAGCCAUACCGCGUGGGUGAAGAAGGCCUUCGGGUUGUAAAGCCCUUUUGUUGGGAAAGAAAAGCAGCAGGUUAACACCCCGCUGUUCUGACGGAACCCAAAGAAUAAGCACCGGCUAACUUCGU